GAAGAAACACAUCAAGACCCUCUCAUGUACCCACAGUGUAAUUGGUGUUCUUUAAGUUCCAGGCAACAGAAACCCAAUGCAAUAAAAUUAAUCAAAACAUGGAAUUUCAUUAAUUCACAUCACUGAGAAGGACAUGGUAGAUCUUACCUCAGGCACAUAUGAGUACAUAGAUUUCAAUGAAAGUGGUGUGGCACCAUUUUCUUAAAGCUCUGCAACUUGUUUUUUUCCUGUUCUAGGCUCUUGGUCACCUACUUCAGGCUGAUACUCUUUGCAUAAUAGAGAAUGUAUCCAAACACUGCCUAGCUUCAUAAUUUCCUGGAUUCCGAUGGAAGACGCUUUAGAACUGCUAUGUCAGUCCUGGGAAGAACUUUAGAUUGAUCUGACUUGGGUAAUGUGGCAGUCUCUAAACCAACCACUAGGGCUGUGUGGACAAUGUUCCAUGCAAGUCUAGACCAGAAUACUCCAUCCGCUCCUGGAACUACCAGGAUCCACCUGUGAAAAGAAUUGGUAUAAAGACAAAUUAGUCAUGCUUCACACAGAUUUAUUCCUAGAUACUGCAAAGAAAGCAAUAAUGCUCUUUCCAGCUAAAGCAUCUUCAUUAAACAGAUGACAUUUGACCUAGACCUUAAAGUACAGGUAAAUAUUGUCUUGGAAAGGAAGUGGGACAUGAGCAUUCAAUAAAUGUUAUUCAUGAACAUAGAGGCAUGGACUAUAGAUGUCUCUGACAAGCAUAGAGAACAAGGAUCCUGGAACUCCCCGUGUCUUCUAUCUGUGUACACUGGUGCAGAAGAAAUAAUUCUCAAAAAUAAACUAGUUAAUCAUUAGUUGGAAGCAAAGUAUCACCUUUAUUAAUAACAAAGCAUAGUUUGGAGGACACAGUGCAUUUUUCAGACAGGUAGACUCUGGCCCCCUCCUCUGAAUUAGACAGACUUGUUGUUACCUCUAUAGGUAUCAAUAGAGCCCAACAAGCCUCUGCUCUCAGGGAAAGAAAACUGAACAACAUAUGACAGAAAGGAGCAGAGGAG
RNAcentral lists this long non-coding RNA (1025 nucleotides) under Microcebus murinus (gray mouse lemur). RNAcentral describes it as "lncRNA (ENSMICG00000048359.1)". Lineage: Eukaryota; Metazoa; Chordata; Mammalia; Primates; Cheirogaleidae. The record is from RNAcentral.